AUUUGAGGGUAAAAAGGUUGGUGAGUUUUAGGUGUGGAGGCAAAAACUGAAGAAUUGGCAAAAAUGGCAGAUAGGUAUAGGUUGGUUUCAAUUGAGGAAUUGCCAUCGCAUUUGAUUUUGGAGAUACUGACGACAGGCAGGCUUAGUGCCGUUGAUCUUGUUUGUUUAGAGUUAACUUCUACGACUUUUGGAGGGAGCCAUGGUUUAUACCCUAACAAAUGCAAGUCAAUGGUAGAUUUUGCCGCAUUUCAGCUGUGUUUGUCACAUGGCGUUUAUAAUGGGAUGUCACUUGAUGCCCAGAAAGAAUUGUUUGAU
This 315-nucleotide unclassified non-coding RNA is filed under the name Hevea brasiliensis (rubber tree). Lineage: Eukaryota; Viridiplantae; Streptophyta; Magnoliopsida; Malpighiales; Euphorbiaceae. The record is from RNAcentral.